RNAcentral lists this ribosomal RNA (460 nucleotides) under uncultured bacterium. Its description in RNAcentral is "partial 16S ribosomal RNA". It matches the Rfam family "Bacterial small subunit ribosomal RNA", at positions 338 to 795 of the family's 1533-position model. The record is from RNAcentral.
CCUACGGGAGACAGCAGUGAGGAAUAUUGGUCAAUGGACGAGAGUCUGAACCAGCCAAGUAGCGUGAAGGAUGCCUGCCCUAUGGGUUGUAAACUUCUUUUAUCUGGGAAUAAAAUGUUCCACGUGUGGGAUUUUGUAUGUACCAUAUGAAUAAGGUUCGGCUAACUCCGUGCCAGCAGCUGCGGUAAUACUGAGGAGCCGAGCUUUACCCGGAUUUAUUGGGUUUAAAGGGAGCGUAGGUGGAUUGUUAAGUCAGUUGUGAAAGUGUGCGGCUCAACCGUAAAAUUGCAGUUGAAACUGGCAGUCUGGAGUACAGUAGAGGUGGGCGGAAUUCGUGGUGUAGCGGUGAAAUGCUUAGAUAUCACGAAGAACUCCGAUUGCGAAGGCAGCUCACUGGACUGCAACUGACACUCAGGCUCGAAAGUGUGGGUAUCAAACAGGAUUAGAUACCCCAGUAGUC